Molecule: ribosomal RNA, 630 nt
Filed under: Staphylococcus aureus
Lineage: Bacteria; Bacillati; Bacillota; Bacilli; Caryophanales; Staphylococcaceae
Description: partial 23S ribosomal RNA
Rfam family: Bacterial large subunit ribosomal RNA
Source: RNAcentral
GGUGAAAAGCACCCCGGAAGGGGAGUGAAAUAGAACCUGAAACCGUGUGCUUACAAGUAGUCAGAGCCCGUUAAUGGGUGAUGGCGUGCCUUUUGUAGAAUGAACCGGCGAGUUACGAUUUGAUGCAAGGUUAAGCAGUAAAUGUGGAGCCGUAGCGAAAGCGAGUCUGAAUAGGGCGUUUAGUAUUUGGUCGUAGACCCGAAACCAGGUGAUCUACCCUUGGUCAGGUUGAAGUUCAGGUAACACUGAAUGGAGGACCGAACCGACUUACGUUGAAAAGUGAGCGGAUGAACUGAGGGUAGCGGAGAAAUUCCAAUCGAACCUGGAGAUAGCUGGUUCUCUCCGAAAUAGCUUUAGGGCUAGCCUCAAGUGAUGAUUAUUGGAGGUAGAGCACUGUUUGGACGAGGGGCCCCUCUCGGGUUACCGAAUUCAGACAAACUCCGAAUGCCAAUUAAUUUAACUUGGGAGUCAGAACAUGGGUGAUAAGGUCCGUGUUCGAAAGGGAAACAGCCCAGACCACCAGCUAAGGUCCCAAAAUAUAUGUUAAGUGGAAAAGGAUGUGGCGUUGCCCAGACAACUAGGAUGUUGGCUUAGAAGCAGCCAUCAUUUAAAGAGUGCGUAAUAGCUCAC